RNAcentral lists this transfer RNA (56 nucleotides) under Riccardoella reaumuri. RNAcentral's name for it is "tRNA-Pro". Lineage: Eukaryota; Metazoa; Arthropoda; Arachnida; Trombidiformes; Ereynetidae. The record is from RNAcentral.
CAGAAAAUAGUUUAAUUAGAAUAAUAACUUUGGGUGUUAAAGGAUUAUUUUUCUGA